RNAcentral lists this ribosomal RNA (495 nucleotides) under uncultured bacterium. RNAcentral's name for it is "partial 16S ribosomal RNA". It matches the Rfam family "Bacterial small subunit ribosomal RNA", at positions 28 to 506 of the family's 1533-position model. The record is from RNAcentral.
GAUGAACGCUGGCGGCGUGCCUAAUACAUGCAAGUCGAGCGAACAGACGAGGAGCUUGCUCCUCUGACGUUAGCGGCGGACGGGUGAGUAACACGUGGAUAACCUACCUAUAAGACUGGGAUAACUUCGGGAAACCGAACCAAAUACCGGAAAAAUAAUGAAACCGCUGGGUUCAUUAGGAAAGACGGGUUUGCUUUUACCUUUAGAAUGAUCCGCGCCGCAUUAGCUAGUUGGUAAGGUAACGGCUUACCAAGGCAACGAUGCGUAGCCGACCUGAGAGGGUGAUCGGCCACACUGGAACUGAGACACGGUCCAGACUCCUACGGGAGGCAGCAGUAGGGAAUCUUCCGCAAUGGGCGAAAGCCUGACGGAGCAACGCCGCGUGAGUGAUGAAGGUCUUCGGAUCGUAAAACUCUGUUAUUAGGGAAGAACAAAUGUGUAAGUAACUAUGCACGUCUUGACGGUACCUAAUCAGAAAGCCACGGCUAACUACGU